CGGACGGGUGAGUAACACGUAGGUAACCUGCCCUUAAGUGGGGGAUAACAUUUGGAAACAGAUGCUAAUACCGCAUAGAUCCAAGAACCGCAUGGUUCUUGGCUGAAAGAUGGCGUAAGCUAUCGCUUUUGGAUGGACCCGCGGCGUAUUAGCUAGUUGGUGAGGUAAUGGCUCACCAAGGCGAUGAUACGUAGCCGAACUGAGAGGUUGAUCGGCCACAUUGGGACUGAGACACGGCCCAAACUCCUACGGGAGGCAGCAGUAGGGAAUCUUCCACAAUGGACGCAAGUCUGAUGGAGCAACGCCGCGUGAGUGAAGAAGGCUUUCGGGUCGUAAAACUCUGUUGUUGGAGAAGAAUGGUCGGCAGAGUAACUGUUGUCGGCGUGACGGUAUCCAACCAGAAAGCCACGGCUAACUACGUGCCAGCAGCCGCGGUAAUACGUAGGUGGCAAGCGCUAUCCGGAGUUAUUGGGCGUAAAGCGAGCGCAGGCGGUUUUUUAAGUCUGAUGUGAAAGCCCUCGGCUUAACCGAGGAAGCGCAUCGGAAACUGGGAAACUUGAGUGCAGAAGAGGACAGUGGAACUCCAUGUGUAGCGGUGAAAUGCGUAGAUAUAUGGAAGAACACCAGUGGCGAAGGGCGGCUGUCUGGUCUGUAACUGACGCUGAGGCUCGAAAGCAUGGGUAGCGAACAGGAUUAGAUACCCUGGUAG
This 709-nucleotide ribosomal RNA is filed under the name uncultured bacterium. Its description in RNAcentral is "bacterial SSU rRNA". It matches the Rfam family "Bacterial small subunit ribosomal RNA", at positions 99 to 793 of the family's 1533-position model. The record is from RNAcentral.